Molecule: ribosomal RNA, 490 nt
Filed under: uncultured bacterium
Lineage: Bacteria
Description: partial 16S ribosomal RNA
Rfam family: Bacterial small subunit ribosomal RNA
Source: RNAcentral
AUUGAACGCUGGCGGCAGGCCUAACACAUGCAAGUCGAACGGUAACAGGAAGCAGCUUGCUGCUUCGCUGACGAGUGGCGGACGGGUGAGUAAUGUCUGGGAAGCUGCCUGAUGGAGGGGGAUAACUACUGGAAACGGUAGCUAAUACCGCAUAAUGUCGCAAGACCAAAGAGGGGGACCUUCGGGCCUCUUGCCAUCGGAUGUGCCCAGAUGGGAUUAGCUUGUUGGUGGGGUAAAGGCUCACCAAGGCGACGAUCCCUAGCUGGUCUGAGAGGAUGACCAGUCACACUGGAACUGAGACACGGUCCAGACUCCUACGGGAGGCAGCAGUGGGGAAUAUUGCACAAUGGGCGCAAGCCUGAUGCAGCCAUGCCGCGUGUAUGAAGAAGGCCUUCGGGUUGUAAAGUACUUUCAGCGGGGAGGAAGGGAGGAAAGUUAAUACCUUGGCGCAUUGACGUUACCCGCAGAAGAAGCACCGGCUAACUCCGUG